UUUGGGCCGUUUUCAGUCAGAAUAUUAUCGAAAAUUAAUUGAAAACUAAAUCUGUAGAAAGCUAUUUCAUCGCUUGUUUGGACGAGGGUUCGAUUCCCUCCGACUCCACCA
This 111-nucleotide transfer-messenger RNA is filed under the name Flavobacteriaceae bacterium. Its description in RNAcentral is "partial transfer-messenger RNA". It matches the Rfam family "transfer-messenger RNA", at positions 260 to 374 of the family's 374-position model. From Rfam's summary of the family: Bacterial tmRNA, also known as 10Sa RNA or SsrA, is named for its dual tRNA and mRNA-like properties. Its role is to liberate the mRNA from a stalled ribosome. Lineage: Bacteria; Pseudomonadati; Bacteroidota; Flavobacteriia; Flavobacteriales; Flavobacteriaceae. The record is from RNAcentral.